UGGUAUAACUUUAUCUUUUCCACUGAACUGAAAUAUCUGUGGGAAUUUGUGCUUCCAGUUUAUUUAAUCUUUGAGAAAAGACAAAGCCAGUUGAAUGGUUUUUGUUUUUAUUGUGUUACCUGUAUUUAUAAAGAAUGAAACAUGAAGCAACAAUGUUUUUCUUUUUUGAGACAGGGUCUUACUCUAUAGUUUAGGCUGGCCUGGCCUUCAUUAUACUAGACCACGUUGGCUUCAAACUAGUGGCAAAUCUCUUGAUAGACGAAUGCGAUGUCAAAAGGCUGAUGGGACACAUGUCUGGGAAGGAUGUAGUGGUUCAAGCAUUUCUAUGUGGUACAUUCGGUAGUUAACCAGGCUUCCUUUGAAAUGAAGUUAUUUGCUUCUUUUGACCCCAGAAACAUCAAAGUCAAUAUUCAUGGGAGAAGGCUUAUUGUUAUGCAUGAUGCAAAGUUUCUUCCAUUUAAAUUCAUUGAAAAGUAAAAUUUUCAUGACUGUUGUUUUUACAUUAUAAUCUUAAUGUAAAUAUUUCUAAGUAUGGUAGAUAAU
RNAcentral lists this long non-coding RNA (543 nucleotides) under Mus pahari (shrew mouse). RNAcentral's name for it is "predicted gene 28991 (MGP_PahariEiJ_G0002243.1)". Lineage: Eukaryota; Metazoa; Chordata; Mammalia; Rodentia; Muridae. The record is from RNAcentral.